UUUAUCAAAAACAUGUCUUGUUGAAUUAUAAAUAAUAAGUUUAUUCUGCCCAUUGAAUUAGUUUUUGAAAGGCUGCAGUAAUUUAACUGUACAAAGGUAGCAUAAUCAAUAGUUUUUUAAUUGAAAACUUGUAUGAAAGAAUUGAUAAAAUAUUGAUUGUCUCAAAUUUAAAUAAUUGAAAUUAAAUUAAGAGUUAAAAUUCUUUUAUGUAAUUAUUAGACGAUAAGACCCUAAGAAUUUUAUAAUUAUUUUAUUUUAUUAAUUAAAUUAAUUUAAUUAAAAAUUUAUAAUUUAAUUAUUUUAUUGGGAGGGUAAUUAAAAAAUUAAACUUUAAUUAUAUUAGAACUUUGAUAAAUGAAAUGUAAUGAUUAUUGUUAUAGUUGUAAGAAUUAAUUACCUUAGGGAUAACAGCGUAAUAAUUUUGGAAAGUCCAUAUUGAUAAAAUUGUUUGCGACCUCGAUGUUGAAUUAAAAUAAAAAUUAAAUGGAGAAAUUUAAAUUUUUAGUCUGUUCGACUAU
This 518-nucleotide ribosomal RNA is filed under the name Mischocyttarus alfkenii. RNAcentral's name for it is "partial 16S ribosomal RNA". Lineage: Eukaryota; Metazoa; Arthropoda; Insecta; Hymenoptera; Vespidae. The record is from RNAcentral.